UACGUAGGGACCUAGCGUUGUCCGGAAUCAUUGGGCGUAAAGCGCGUGUAGGCGGCUUGCCAAGUCCGGUGUGAAAACUGGGGGCUUAACUCCCAGCCUGCACUGGAAACUGGCUUGCUAGAGUCCGGAAGAGGAGACUGGAAUUCCUGGUGUAGCGGUGAAAUGCGCAGAUAUCAGGAAGAACACCUGUGGCGAAGGCGGGUCUCUGGGACGGUACUGACGAUGAGACGCGAAAGAGUGGGGAGCAAACAGG
Molecule: ribosomal RNA, 253 nt
Filed under: uncultured bacterium
Lineage: Bacteria
Description: partial 16S ribosomal RNA
Rfam family: Bacterial small subunit ribosomal RNA
Source: RNAcentral